UACAGAGGUCUCGAGCGUUAGGCGGAAUCACUGGGCUUAAAGCGUGUGUAGGCGGGUCGUUAAGUACCUUGUGAAAUCCCAUGGCUCAACCAUGGAACUGCUUGGUAUACUGGCGAUCUUGUGCAACCUAGGGGCGAGCGGAACAGAUGGUGGAGCGGUGAAAUGCGUAGAUAUCAUCUGGAACGCCAAUGGUGAAAACAGCUCGCUGGGGGUUUGCAGACGCUGAGACACGAAAAGCCAGGGGAGCGAACGGG
Molecule: ribosomal RNA, 254 nt
Filed under: uncultured bacterium
Lineage: Bacteria
Description: partial 16S ribosomal RNA
Rfam family: Bacterial small subunit ribosomal RNA
Source: RNAcentral